GUUGGAGGAGGUGGGGAGGCGUAGAUGUAUGCCGGUGGUGGAGGUGACUUUACGGGUGGUGGAGGUGAUGAGUAGACAUAUGGUGGUGGCGGUGAUUUUACAGGUGGUGGAGGUGAUGAGUAGACAUAUGGUGGUGGUGGUGACUUCACAGGUGGUGGAGGUGAUGAGUAGACAUAUGGUGGUGGAGGUGACUUCACAGGUGGUGGAGGUGAUGAGUACACGUACGGUGGUGGCGGUGACUUCACGGGUGGUGGAGGUGAUGAGUACACGUACGGUGGUGGUGGUGACUUCACGGGUGGUGGAGGUGAUGAGUACACGUAAGGUGGUGGUGGUGGUGACUUCACGGGUGGGGGAGGUGAUGAGUACACGUAUGGUGGGGGUGGUGAUUUUACGGGUGGUGGAGGUGAUGAGUAGACAUAUGGUGGUGGCGGUGACUUCACGGGUGGUGGAGGUGAUGAGUACACGUAAGGUGGUGGUGGUGACUUCACGGGCGGAGGAGGUGAUGAGUACACGUAUGGUGGUGGUGGUGACUUCACGGGUGGUGGAGGUGAUGAGUACACAUACGGUGGUGGUGGUGACUUCACUGGUGGGGGAGGUGAUGAGUACACGUAUGGUGGUGGCGGUGACGUUACGGGUGGUGGAGGUGAUGAGUAGACGUAUAGUGGCGG
RNAcentral lists this long non-coding RNA (668 nucleotides) under Erythranthe guttata (spotted monkey flower). RNAcentral describes it as "long non-coding RNA (EGUT_LNC002549)". Lineage: Eukaryota; Viridiplantae; Streptophyta; Magnoliopsida; Lamiales; Phrymaceae. The record is from RNAcentral.